GAGGGCGUAGCUCAGAUGGUAGAGAAUGGUAGAGAUGGCUCACUUAGCACGCGAGAGAUACGGGGAUCGAUACCCCGCGCCUCCA
Molecule: non-coding RNA, 85 nt
Organism: Trichonephila inaurata madagascariensis
Lineage: Eukaryota; Metazoa; Arthropoda; Arachnida; Araneae; Nephilidae
Source: the annotation of a GenBank genome assembly